UGGGAACUACCUAGUAGUACGGAAUAACACAGAGAAAUUUGUGCUAAUACCGUAUACGCCCUUUUGGGGAAAGAUUUAUCGCUAUUAGAUGGGCCCGCGUUGGAUUAGCUAGUUGGUGGGGUAAUGGCCUACCAAGGCGACGAUCUAUAGCUGGUCUGAGAGGAUGAUCAGCCACACUGGAACUGAGACACGGUCCAGACUCCUACGGGAGGCAGCAGUGGGGAAUAUUGGACAAUGGGGGCAACCCUGAUCCAGCCAUGCCGCGUGAGUGAUGAAGGCCCUAGGGUUGUAAAGCUCUUUCAACGGUGAAGAUAAUGACGGUAACCGUAGAAGAAGCCCCGGCUAACUUCGUGCCAGCAGCCGCGGUAAUACGAAGGGGGCUAGCGUUGUUCGGAAUUACUGGGCGUAAAGCGUACGUAGGCGGACUGAUCAGUCAGGGGUGAAAUCCCGGGGCUCAACCCCGAACUGCCUUUGAUACUGUCAGUCUUAGUUCGAGAGAGGUGAGUGGAAUUCCGAGUGUAGAGGUGAAAUUCGUAGAUAUUCGGAGGAACACCAGUGGCGAAGGGGCUCACUGGCUCGAUACUGACGCUGAGGUGCGAAAGUGUGGGGAGCAAACAGGAUUAGAUACCCUGGUAGUCCACACCGUAAACGAUGAAUGCCAGACGUCGGGGGGCAUGCCCUUCGGUGUCACACCUAACGGAUUAAGCAUUCCGCCUGG
This 718-nucleotide ribosomal RNA is filed under the name uncultured bacterium. RNAcentral describes it as "bacterial SSU rRNA". It matches the Rfam family "Bacterial small subunit ribosomal RNA", at positions 118 to 876 of the family's 1533-position model. The record is from RNAcentral.